CUAGGUUCCCACCCAAGAACUUCUGCCAUUCCAACGAAUGAAAGAAGAAAAGGUAUCCCAACUUUUGAUGCUUGGAUUGCAAGUUCUCGGUGACCAAUGUGAAGAGCAUCAAAUUUUCCUAAAGCAACUAUCCCACCUAUUUAAACAAGAUUAAACGUUACAAUGCAAAAAAGAAACCAAUCUUGUUUCUCAAGGCAUAAAAGUGUUUCCCUGUGUAUGCAAAGAGAUGAAUGAAUGAUGAAUUGCAUGACAUGUUCACCUAAUGUAAUUCCAUCCAGGAUCACAGACUCAUAAGGACGAUGAAAAGUAUACAAGUUUUCUGGAUGGAGAAAGACAAGUAGACAAGAGUAGGCUAAUAGAUGGGAACAUUCUUGAGAGAACAUUCUGUUUAAUGCAACUCUUCAGACGAAUUUAAUCUAGGUGGAAUAAGUAUUUGUCAUUUUAGUUAGAGGUUUGGAAUUUCGAAAAUACAUAACUCAUAUCUCUGGCAGCUUAUUUGAUGGAGCAUUAGAUGCAACAAAAGCAGCCCAGUUACAAAUCUACCACAAGCUUAACCACUCAGAAUAAUUCCGCCAGCAUGCAAAGGGGCAGGUUAGCCGCUCACUUACAGGCCAAGGCCAUAAUUAGCCAAUAAGAAACAACCAGAAUGCGAAAGGGCAUGUAAAAAUUUGUGGAUAUAUUCAGCUUUUAGAUUAUGAAGUACCACUUUUUUUUUUUACUAUUAAUAUUGCAUCUAUCAAGAUCAUUUCAGCUCCCCACAUACCACAUGAAAAAAACUAGUAUUUUUUUUCUUUAUUCCUUUUGCAAAGCAUCAUAAACCAUGAUUGGGAAUCACUGCACCCCUCCAAAAUAAUUUUCCUUCCAUAAUUCUAGAUGUUCCAUUACAACAUCCUAUCUUGGUUCAGGCAUUUACUUAUAAAAUUAACUGAACUAGCUGUGAGAAUUGGAUCUGCCUAUCUAGGACUAGAUCUUGCCCAAGUAAAAGAAACCAAAAAGGUGCAGCUCAAAAAGAGUCAGAACCAUUUUCAAGUUUUAUCUCCACUGAUCAAAUGAGAAAGUACAAGAACUGCACUUCUCAAGUAUAUAUGACUAAGCCGAAAUGAAUGUUCUCUGAGAUAACUGUGUAGACAAGUUCCGGAUAGAUAUUUCUUAGUAUCAAGGGUCAAGUUGUUAGUUGAAACUGUUGCAGCAAACCAUUGAAAUCAACUAAACAUACAUGGAUCCUGUAAUUUUCCGUAUUUAAUUUGCCAGUGAACAUGUAAACUGCAUCCACCCUCCCCCCACUCCCAGCCCCAACCCAAGAACAGAAUAUAAAAAGAUUACAUUUAUCUUCAAAAAGAGAUAAAUAUCAAAUUGCUACAAAUUAACUGAAAAAAAAAAAAAUGUAAGACAUGUGAACAUGUUAACAAAAGGUCAUUUUUCUUCCUACUACUUGUAUGGUCAAAAUAAGAAUAUAAUCAACUUAAGAAGGGAAAACCUGUUCAGUAACUUCAUGACCAUAACAAAUUGCAGUAACGUCACCUGAAUAUAUUGUUUCUAAUCACGUGCUUGUUAACAGAAAAAUGAGGAAUAUUAGAAGAUUAAAAAAAAAAAAAGCUAAAAGAUUGAAGAGAACAAAGAGAAAACCUGCUAUUGGUGACAAUUUUUCAGGUGGAGACUCUUGACAAUCUUCAUUUUGGCUACCAGAAGAGAAUUAAAAAAUAUGCAAAUUACAUUAGAAUGACAGAAAAACCAUAACUGAGCAAUGCUAAACAUAAAUUUGCCACACUAUCAGAAGAUAGGUAAUCUUUUCAUCUCCUAUAACUCUAAGUAACCACCACAAGAAAUAUAAAUCAUUAAUAUGCUGACUGCCUAUACCACCUCUCUAUAACCAUACACAUUGUCAUUCUUAACGUAGCAUAAAAAUUCGAACAACAACAAAACACUCUUUGCAAGCAGGAGAGAAUAGUGCUGACAUUAAAAAAAUUUUGGUUUGAAAUCAAGCUAUUAUGUCUCAAUUCUAGAAUACGCAUUUGCGCAGACAAAUCAUUCGAAGCAGUUUCAUUUUUCUCCAUAAUCCUAGACUCUAUUCUAGAUAUUAAACUCACUUGAUAAGCAGCCUAAAGAACCUAAACAUCAACUGUUAUGUUUAAUUCGGGAAUUAGAACUUCCAUAUUGCAGCCAACAAAGCAUAAGUCACAGAUUUAUUUCCAAUUGCAUGUUUUCACAAGUAAUCAAGGUAAAUUAGGUAUUCUUCCACAGUUCUGCCGGGCCAAAAAGUUGAUGUUCUACAAUCCCUUAAUCUCAAUAGUAAAAGGUUCACAUCAAUUCACUUCUAACUAUUAAAUUUGCCAAUUAAAAGCCUAUCAAACCCAUACACAAAUUCCCCUAUUCGACACAAAAACUAAAACUCUCCUAUUGCAGCAGGCAAAUCAUACCGAAGUUUCAACAACAAUAUCCCCAGUAAUAAAAAAUUAGCACAUGCAAAAACAAUAUCAAAUCGUUGCAAAAGAUUAGGCAAAAGAAAAAAAAAAGAGAAAGAAUUCAUGUUACCUUAAACAACCUGGAAGAGGCGGACUUUUGGUGUGCUGAAUACAAUUAACAUAAGGGUCUCUCAAACCAUUAUCCCUUCUACAAUCAUCGUUGUUCAACAGAAAUCUGAACCUUUCUGUAGAAAAGGACAUGGCAGCUAAAGUAGCGGUAGAUGGUCUUACAAUUAAAGGGUGAUGGAGUUGCUUGGCUGUAAAACAAAAUUGGUGACGAGGCUUCUUCUUACUGCAAUUCUUGUAUUGUUGAUGAUGGUAGUGGUGGUUGAGAUAGCAGUUACAGUCUCGCAAGUGGUGGGAGAAAAUAGUGCGAGAGACACCCAACAUAGUAGCAUCAGAAACGAAAGUAUGGCG
This 2879-nucleotide long non-coding RNA is filed under the name Coffea arabica (coffee). RNAcentral's name for it is "long non-coding RNA (CARA_LNC007746)". Lineage: Eukaryota; Viridiplantae; Streptophyta; Magnoliopsida; Gentianales; Rubiaceae. The record is from RNAcentral.